GUUGAUUCACCAGAUUCAAACUGGAAUCCUUAUGAUGAAACUGUGAAUGAUAAUUUGUUUGAUGAAUUGUUUAAUUCAAGUGACGAUGACUCAAGUCAUUUUGAAGGAUUUUAAAUACAUAUUUACUAUUAAAUACAAUUUUUUUUAUUUAACUUAAAGUGAUAAAUAAAGAUUUCAUACCAUAAAUCUUUUUGAACAAUACCCCGGUAAAUACAAAACUGUCAGAGUGAACGCAUCCUUCCCAAUUACUGUACUACAAAUGGCUACGCAAUGUUUACACUUGCUGUGCAAUUGGGGUUUCUUCAAGUUACUUUGAUUUUUUUCAUUUAAUUUAAGAUUACCGGACUUUGGCACCGAUAACUGGUUAAUGGCACCUCUGAUGGGUAUGUAUCGGCACCAAUACUUUAUUAUCAGCACUGAAAACCGAUGAUCGCCGCACUUCAGCUAGACAAGCGCAGUAAAACCGGAACGCCAAUAACCAAGGCUGCCAAUAACCAGGGACUGCCAGUAUGUACAUAUGUACAGGAUGUGGAACCCAACGGACAUCAGAUUUAACAGACAAAAUCCAGCCAAGGUUUCAUUGAUGCCACAAACCCCC
Macrobrachium nipponense is the source of this 598-nucleotide long non-coding RNA. RefSeq lists it as uncharacterized. Lineage: Eukaryota; Metazoa; Arthropoda; Malacostraca; Decapoda; Palaemonidae. The transcript is spliced from 3 exons. The record is from RefSeq and is a predicted model, not a curated record.